UCAAAGCUCACACCCAACCCUACGCGUCCCACAUCGGAAGAAUCAACAUCUCCCACGCUUCCAACGGCAAAAAGAUUCUUCCGGGUUUCAUUGUUCAUAAGUGCUAUAUUUGCUUUCUAGAGCUUUUAUAUUCUUUUGUACACUCUUUUAUUGUGGUGCUUGUUCCAGUCAAGGGACUUGAAACAAGGGAAAGGCGUCCCAAGCCUAAGAGAAAUUGGGGGUAUUAGGGUUUGUUGUGAGCCCGGUGUAAAACAACGAGUUGGGUAGUGAACUCGCAAAACUACCGUACUGUAAUCUUGGAUUAUAGUGGAAAUUCCCAAAGGCGCUUUGGGGAGUGGAUGUAGGA
Molecule: long non-coding RNA, 346 nt
Filed under: Phoenix dactylifera (date palm)
Lineage: Eukaryota; Viridiplantae; Streptophyta; Magnoliopsida; Arecales; Arecaceae
Description: long non-coding RNA (PDAC_LNC018683)
Source: RNAcentral